CUCCAAAUUUUUCAUUUGCCUCCUUCAUUUUUGUAUUUUUUCAUCAAGAACCUAGAGGAAUGGAAAAAUUAAAAUCAAUUGGAACUCUAACACCCAACAUUCAUCUCUAUGUCCAGUUGGAUCGAUUACUCUAGUAUGUCAUCAUCAACUUCAUCUUCUUUUUCUUUUGAUUGCUACUAGAUAAAGAUCCAUUAUUUCCCUAAUAAAUUAAUGAAGAACAUCAAAAUAGUUUGAGUCUUUCUUGUUGUUGCAUAGUUUUUGUGAUUUUUCUUAUUCAUCGUCACUCGUUAAUGAGAUACGAACCACUAGGCACGCUUUUUCCUUUGAAAUUGAAGAAGCCAAAAGUUGUGCCUACGAGCUCAAGGUUCUCGAGGCAAAAAGCAGUCAUGCACAACCGACAUAAAUACCAUGAAUGCAAUUUCAAAGUAAAGAUUCCUUUUCUUUUUUCAUAUUUGAAUGUAUGUUUCUCAUCUCCAUUUUGCAACUUGCUAUCUCUGUAAUAUCCAUGGUAGUUGUUAGAUCCUUAUUUUCAGGCAUGUUGCUAGUUUGUUAGUAUAGCAAUGUUAAUAAAUUCUCAUAGUUCUAGAUUAUUUUAAACUUCUAAAUGCUUUAAUGUGAUUGGAGACAUGAUGUAAUAUGUUGGUGAAUGAAAUCUAAGUUGCGUAUUCUUUCUCUUCUUUUAUUUAUUCACUUUCAUUUACAUUUCAUUUGUGCCUUGUUUUUCAUUCUAUUAUUCAUUUUUGACCUACUUGAGUUUGAUCAGUAGCAUUUGUAGAAUUGAGUUUGUCCGGCAUUCCCCUAGAGAUGUGAACAAACGUUUUGGAUAAUUAAUUUCAGAUAGCUAUUCCUCCCUCGAUCAUAUGUUCGUACAUGUGUAUUAUAUUAGAUAUUGUCCUUUUAUCUUCCGGUUCUUGAAUUCAAUUGCUCAGAUUCAUUGGUGUAUCAAAAUAUAUGGGAAUGUAUAUUUUGAUUCUAGUUAUGAAGAUUAUGAGAUGGUCCAGUACCCAAGGUGAGAAAGAUCAAAGGUGCCAAAGCUGUUAUUGCUUCUCCUAGUUCGACUCCAAUAGAUAUCACGUAUCAAAGGGAGAAGCACAAAGGGAGUGGACAAGCUUCUGAUAGAGGACUCUAUGAGAAAAUCAAAGUUGGAUGCACAGACACCUCUAAACCUUAUUCAAGUGGUAAAAAGAAAACAUAUGGGGAAGAUGCCAUUAAGGUACUACAUUAUGAAAGACAUAUAGCUUUGGAGACUAGUGGCGAGGUAUAUAUGGUAUGGGAAGCCAAACAACUAUUCUUUGAAUAGUAAGACAGAGAUUAAAUAGUUGUUCAGAUAAUCUGGCAUGUGGAAGAUUUCAUCAUGAUCAAGAGUUGAAAAAACAUUAAUGGCAUCAUUUAUUGUAAGUAUUGUAGCAAUUUGAUAAUGCCACUUAGUAGACAACAAAUCACACUAGUUAUUAGAUUCAAAUAGUUUACCUUUUUGGGUAUGUUGUUGAUACUUUGAAACUAUGGAUUAGUAUAUUUUGUUGUGAAUUUAAUGAAGUGUAUUAAACUUUUUGAAAA
Molecule: long non-coding RNA, 1557 nt
Organism: Nicotiana tabacum (common tobacco)
Lineage: Eukaryota; Viridiplantae; Streptophyta; Magnoliopsida; Solanales; Solanaceae
Source: RefSeq, a predicted model, not a curated record